This 566-nucleotide ribosomal RNA is filed under the name Enterobacter cloacae. RNAcentral describes it as "bacterial SSU rRNA". It matches the Rfam family "Bacterial small subunit ribosomal RNA", at positions 107 to 669 of the family's 1533-position model. The record is from RNAcentral. Lineage: Bacteria; Pseudomonadati; Pseudomonadota; Gammaproteobacteria; Enterobacterales; Enterobacteriaceae.
UGAGUAAUGUCUGAAAAACUGCCUGAUGGAGGGGGAUAACUACUGGAAACGGUAGCUAAUACCGCAUAACGUCGCAAGACCAAAGAGGGGGACCUUCGGGCCUCUUGCCAUCGGAUGUGCCCAGAUGGGAUUAGCUAGUAGGUGGGGUAACGGCUCACCUAGGCGACGAUCCCUAGCUGGUCUGAGAGGAUGACCAGCCACACUGGAACUGAGACACGGUCCAGACUCCUACGGGAGGCAGCAGUGGGGAAUAUUGCACAAUGGGCGCAAGCCUGAUGCAGCCAUGCCGCGUGUAUGAAGAAGGCCUUCGGGUUGUAAAGUACUUUCAGCGGGGAGGAAGGCGAUAAGGUUAAUAACCUUGUCGAUUGACGUUACCCGCAGAAGAAGCACCGGCUAACUCCGUGCCAGCAGCCGCGGUAAUACGGAGGGUGCAAGCGUUAAUCGGAAUUACUGGGCGUAAAGCGCACGCAGGCGGUCUGUCAAGUCGGAUGUGAAAUCCCCGGGCUCAACCUGGGAACUGCAUUCGAAACUGGCAGGCUAGAGUCUUGUAGAGGGGGGUAGAAUUC